This 253-nucleotide ribosomal RNA is filed under the name uncultured bacterium. RNAcentral describes it as "partial 16S ribosomal RNA". It matches the Rfam family "Bacterial small subunit ribosomal RNA", at positions 524 to 776 of the family's 1533-position model. The record is from RNAcentral.
UACGUAGGGUGCAAGCGUUGUCCGGAAUUAUUGGGCGUAAAGAGCUCGUAGGCGGUUUGUCGCGUCGAAUGUGAAAACCCGGGGCUCAACUCCGGGUCUGCAUUCGAUACGGGCUAGCUAGAGUGUGGUAGGGGAGAUCGGAAUUCCUGGUGUAGCGGUGAAAUGCGCAGAUAUCAGGAGGAACACCGGUGGCGAAGGCGGAUCUCUGGGCCAUUACUGACGCUGAGGAGCGAAAGCGUGGGGAGCGAACAGG